This 86-nucleotide transfer RNA is filed under the name Clostridia bacterium. RNAcentral's name for it is "tRNA-Leu". It matches the Rfam family "tRNA". From Rfam's summary of the family: Transfer RNA (tRNA) molecules are approximately 80 nucleotides in length. Their secondary structure includes four short double-helical elements and three loops (D, anti-codon, and T loops). Further hydrogen bonds mediate the characteristic L-shaped molecular structure. tRNAs have two regions of fundamental functional importance: the anti-codon, which is responsible for specific mRNA codon recognition, and the 3' end, to which the tRNAs corresponding amino acid is attached (by aminoacyl-tRNA synthetases). tRNAs cope with the degeneracy of the genetic code in two manners: having more than one tRNA (with a specific anti-codon) for a particular amino acid; and 'wobble' base-pairing, i.e. permitting non-standard base-pairing at the 3rd anti-codon position. Lineage: Bacteria; Bacillati; Bacillota; Clostridia. The record is from RNAcentral.
GCGGAUGUGGUGGAACGGCAGACACGUAUGAUUCAGGUUCAUAUGAAAGCAAUUUCGUGAGGGUUCAAAUCCCUUCGUCCGCACCA